GUUCCCAGUGAUGGUAUACAUUAACCAUGCUAAUACUGAUGUCCUUUGACUAGUUUACAUGGAAUU
This is a non-coding RNA of Zea mays, 66 nucleotides long. NCBI's taxonomy places the organism in Eukaryota, Viridiplantae, Streptophyta, Magnoliopsida, Poales, Poaceae. The record is from Rfam.